RNAcentral lists this transfer RNA (73 nucleotides) under Paramuricea clavata. It matches the Rfam family "tRNA". From Rfam's summary of the family: Transfer RNA (tRNA) molecules are approximately 80 nucleotides in length. Their secondary structure includes four short double-helical elements and three loops (D, anti-codon, and T loops). Further hydrogen bonds mediate the characteristic L-shaped molecular structure. tRNAs have two regions of fundamental functional importance: the anti-codon, which is responsible for specific mRNA codon recognition, and the 3' end, to which the tRNAs corresponding amino acid is attached (by aminoacyl-tRNA synthetases). tRNAs cope with the degeneracy of the genetic code in two manners: having more than one tRNA (with a specific anti-codon) for a particular amino acid; and 'wobble' base-pairing, i.e. permitting non-standard base-pairing at the 3rd anti-codon position. Lineage: Eukaryota; Metazoa; Cnidaria; Anthozoa; Malacalcyonacea; Plexauridae. The record is from Rfam by way of RNAcentral.
GACCGCGUAGCUCAGUUGGAAGAGCAUUGGGCUAGUAUUCCAAAGGUCGUAGGUUCGAAUCCCACCGUGGACG